RNAcentral lists this long non-coding RNA (998 nucleotides) under Suricata suricatta (meerkat). RNAcentral describes it as "lncRNA (ENSSSUG00005002247.1)". The record is from RNAcentral. Lineage: Eukaryota; Metazoa; Chordata; Mammalia; Carnivora; Herpestidae.
AUUUCACCAAAACGCCUGACCGGGGGAGCAUGAGCUGGAACCCACAAGCUCAAGCUUCGGUGACCACACGGGAACCCCACCUCCUUCCGUCCUGGGUGGGCUUCCCAGCAAAAGCCCAGAUUAUCUGCAGGUCACUGCCUGAAUCAACGACCUACAGCGGCUCCCAUCAACCUUUGUAAAAGACCAGACCAAGCCUGCAAGAUCAAGCCUGCAAAGCCAGUCCUCAAGAGAAGGCUCCCGACAGGGUCCCCGGCUGCUGGUCUGAGCCCCUGGCAGCUGCUCUGGGCCUUCUGCGCACCCUGUCUUCAUGGACUCAAAUUCUGAAGUCACGUUUGAAGUUAAUGGAAAGCCUCAGGGUGCUGCUCCCCCAGAAAUGUGUGAUGUGGAUUUUCUCAGCAUCUCAACUGGAGCCAAAUAGAGAAAACAAGGAGAUGCUUGGGGGUAUCAAGGGCAUUCUGAGAUUGGACCACUCACCAUCCAGCCCUGCUGAAUUCGCCCACUAGCCAAGAAAGGUUGGGAACGUCCCGGAGGCUGUGUUUUGCUGGAUUGUCUAUCCUGUGAUUGAUUGGAGCUGAGCAUGAAACCCUGGGGCUCUGUUCUGUUCUGUCCCUGAAAUGAUCCGAAGAGUUAUCUCCUCUCUCUUUUCUGAGACCGACCCAGCUCAGGUCUGAUGCCCAUGGCACCCGCAAACUGAAGACCCUCUGAGUCAGUGGCCUGGCUGCUGGGAUUCCUGGGACUCUCCACGCUCUGCGCUCCUGGAAGGCACAGGAAUCCCCCUACAUCCAAUAGUUAGUUGUAUUUAUGUAACUCGGAUAGGCUGCUUCACCAGCCUGGCCCGACAACGUGAGACUGUGUAUUUCCUAUUUAUGGCAGGAAACUUACCAGCCAGAAACUGAUCGUUCUCAAAGUGUCUCCUGGUUAUUUCUAGAAUCUCUGAGUCCUGACCCCAACCCCCAACAUGGAUGAUACAUCUGGUUACCAGCCAAUUGCCUUUUCCC